Molecule: long non-coding RNA, 2050 nt
Filed under: Sus scrofa (pig)
Lineage: Eukaryota; Metazoa; Chordata; Mammalia; Artiodactyla; Suidae
Description: lncRNA (ENSSSCG00030003810.1)
Source: RNAcentral
AGGAGAGCAGCGUUUAUCUUAUGAGGUGUAGACAGAAGAGAACAAAGAUUGGUAUGGACAUAGUACCAAGUAUCUGAGAGACCGAAAUGGAUUCUGCCCUCCUCUGGGUUUUGAAUUUGUUAAAUUAAAAAAAAAAAAAAAAAAAAAAAGGAAAACAAAGCUUUUAUUAAAUCCAGUUCUGUGUGUGUGACUUAAAGUAUUCUUGACAGGUUUCUAAAAAGACAUGUGAAUAUAGUCAGUGGUUUCUCUUUAAAGUCUAGUAUUUCUCCUUCCAUUGAAUUGCUUAUAAAUUCUAUUAGAAGGAUUGGGGGGUAAAAGGAGUUCUUUUACUCUUAAAAGCAGAAAAUCUCCAUAUGUUUAAAUAAGUAAAUCAAGUUUAUUUUCAGCAGUGCAAUACCAUACCUACAAUUUUUACCCUAAUAAUUUGAAGCUUGGGUUUCCAGAAUUCUGAUCGUCAGGGCUAUGUCUGGCUUUACCUAUAAGCCAUAUUAUCACACCAACUAAAAUUAUGUGAAAUUCCCGUGGAGUAAGAGUCUGAAGAUUAUUUUUCUCUGGGUUAGAUUACUUAUUGCUGGUAAGAGACCUAUCGUUAUUAGGUAUCAUCAAAAGAACCAGUGGUAUAUGGAGCCAGCUCAUCCUGACCAUGAGGGUUAAUUGUGCGCAUCUCUGUCCAGCUCUGUGAUCAGUAAUGUCGGGUUGGUACCUUGAAGCUGGCAUGGUGGGAGUGGGAAAUCAGCAAAUGCUACAAAAUCCUCCCCCCUCUAGGAACCUUGAUGUUAAAUAUUACCAGCAAGCCACUAGAUAUUAUUCAAAUUACAUUCUAUCAUCACAACUUAAGGAUGGUGCCGUUGAUACCAGGAGCUCUCUAUAUAUCCGGUACAUGUUUGGCAGUGAUUUGCACUUAAAAUUUUUUUGUAAUAAAUUCUUUUGUCUUCGUUUUUUUCUUUUCAGGGCCAUACCCACAGCAUUUGGAACCCUAGCCUGGAAACCUCCAUAUGCUGAGAGUGUGGCCCUAAAAAGAAAAAAAAAAAAAAAAUACAAAGAAUAAUAAUUUAAGAUAAUAAUAUCAUAUAAUAAUAAUAUUCUGGUUUCCAAAGUAUUAGCUAGUUGAUCAUUUUGAGUAAGUCUUAAAUGUUUCCAGUUAAUUUGAAGGAUUAUAAAAAUAUUUUUUGCCAUGCAAUUAUAUUACUUUCUCACUUGCGAUAGAUUUCAUUCAUUCACUCAACAAAUAUUUAUUAGAAACUACCGUAUUCCAGGACUGUGCUCCUGGGUAAAUAUUAAUAUGAUAGUCAACAAAGCAGACCCUUCCUCUGCUCUCAUGGUAGAUUGAAAGGACCCUGUGAAAUGAGGGUACAAAUAUGUUUUUGAUUGCACACGUUGAGAUGAGAAUCAUAAGGGCAAAGGACACUGUGCUGUGAAACUGUGGAAGAAAGGAACGCCUUGGGGAGUGAAGGCAGGCUUUUCGGAGGAAAUCGUGUUUGAGCUCAGAGCAAGGUGUUGGCUGGGUGAUAAGGAGGGAGGACAUUCCAGAAGAACCAGCAUGUACAAAUACCCUGAGUGAAGAAACUGCUUGUAUAAAGAAAGUAACAGCAAUACAUUACAACCCAAUUUACUGUCAAUAUUUAGAGCCCAGUAAAUCUCAUGUCUUUGAGUAAAUUGUUAAUCACUGAGAAGCACGUAGCUUUUAGGCCACCUAUGUGGCCCCAGAGACUAAAGAUCUGUGCCACCUUUUCCUUCUUAGGGGAGACCAGUGAAAGAAAAUCUUUCAAAACUGUUUAUUUUAGUUAGGAGCAAAGACACUCCUCUGCAUUAGAGGAUAUUUAAAUUACGCAAUCCCCUGGAUACUUUAAGCAUCAACUUACUAUUAAGGGGGAAAAGGAUCAAAAUUAUUGACUCAAAAUUCCCCUGGUGUUCAUUCCGCUUCUAUAUUCCUUGGCCUGUGAAAAUAGCCCAAGGGCUAUGCCCUCUUAUCUCUCUCCAUCUCAAUUCCUCUCUCUUUGGGGUUGGAAAUAAGCUUACAGCUUGACAUGCCUACAGAAUAAAAGGUCUU